UCUAGAGGCUCCGGCAAUGGACGAAAGUCUGACCGAGCGACGCCGCGUGUGGGAUUGAAGGCCUUCGGGUCGUAAACCACUGUCAGAGGGGAAGAAUGCCUGUAUGGCGAAUACAGGAGUGACGGUACCCUCAGAGGAAGCCCCGGCUAACUCCGUGCCAGCAGCCGCGGUAAUACGGAGGGGGCAAGCGUUAUUCGGAUUUACUGGGCGUAAAGGGUGCGUAGGCGGUCGCGCAAGUCUGAUGUGAAAUCUUCACCACUCAACGGGAAGAGGUCAUUGGAAACUGCGCGACUUGAGUUUGGUAGAGGCUAGCGGAAUUCCUGGUGUAGCGGUGGAAUGUGUAGAUAUCAGGAAGAACACCUGUGGCGAAGGCGGCUAGCUGGGCCAAUACUGACGCUGAGGCACGAAAGCGUGGGGAGCAAACGG
RNAcentral lists this ribosomal RNA (426 nucleotides) under uncultured bacterium. RNAcentral's name for it is "bacterial SSU rRNA". It matches the Rfam family "Bacterial small subunit ribosomal RNA", at positions 355 to 775 of the family's 1533-position model. The record is from RNAcentral.